AGAGUUUGAUCAUGGCUCAGGAUGAACGCUGGCGGCGUGCUUAACACAUGCAAGUCGAACGAACCUUCGGGUUAGUGGCGGACGGGUGAGUAACGCGUGAGAAUCUGCCCUCAGGAGGGGGAUAACGGCUGGAAACGGCCGCUAAUACCCCAUAUGCCGAGAGGUGAAAUGAAUUUCGCCUGAGGAUGAGCUCGCGUCUGAUUAGCUAUUUGGUAGGGUAAAGGCCUACCAAGGCUUCGAUCAGUAGCUGGUCUGAGAGGAUGAUCAGCCACACUGGGACUGAGACACGGCCCAGACUCCUACGGGAGGCAGCAGUGGGGAAUUUUCCGCAAUGGGCGAAAGCCUGACGGAGCAACGCCGCGUGAGGGAUGAAGGCCUCUGGGCUGUAAACCUCUUUUAUCAAGGAAGAAGAUCUGACGGUACUUGAUGAAUAAGCCACGGCUAAUUCCGUGCCAGCAGCCGCGGUAAUACGGGAGUGGCAAGCGUUAUCCGGAAUUAUUGGGCGUAAAGCGUCCGCAGGCGGUCUUACAAGUCUGUCGUUAAAGCGUGGAGCUUAACUCCAUUUCAGCGAUGGAAACUGUAAGACUAGAGUGUGGUAGGGGCAGAGGGAAUUCCCGGUGUAGCGGUGAAAUGCGUAGAUAUCGGGAAGAACACCAGUGGCGAAGGCGCUCUGCUGGGCCAUAACUGACGCUCAUGGACGAAAGCCAGGGGAGCGAAAGGGAUUAGAUACCCCUGUAGUCCUGGCCGUAAACGAUGAACACUAGGUGUCGGGGGAAUCGACCCCCUCGGUGUCGUAGCCAACGCGUUAAGUGUUCCGCCUGGGGAGUACGCACGCAAGUGUGAAACUCAAAGGAAUUGACGGGGGCCCGCACAAGCGGUGGAGUAUGUGGUUUAAUUCGAUGCAACGCGAAGAACCUUACCAGGGUUUGACAUCCUGCGAAUCCCUUGGAAACGAGGGAGUGCCUUCGGGAACGCAGUGACAGGUGGUGCAUGGCUGUCGUCAG
RNAcentral lists this ribosomal RNA (1004 nucleotides) under uncultured bacterium. Its description in RNAcentral is "bacterial SSU rRNA". It matches the Rfam family "Bacterial small subunit ribosomal RNA", at positions 8 to 1058 of the family's 1533-position model. The record is from RNAcentral.